UACGUAGGGGGCAAGCGUUGUCCGGAAUCAUUGGGCGUAAAGCGCGUGUAGGCGGCCCGGUAAGUCCGCUGUGAAAGUCGGGGGCUCAACCCUCGGAUGCCGGUGGAUACUGUCGGGCUAGAGUGCGGGAGAGGCGAGUGGAAUUCCUGGUGUAGCGGUGAAAUGCGCAGAUAUCAGGAGGAACACCAAUUGCGAAGGCAGCUCGCUGGAACGUUACUGGCGCUGAGACGCGAAAGCGUGGGGAGCAAACAGG
Molecule: ribosomal RNA, 253 nt
Filed under: uncultured bacterium
Lineage: Bacteria
Description: partial 16S ribosomal RNA
Rfam family: Bacterial small subunit ribosomal RNA
Source: RNAcentral